This 1175-nucleotide ribosomal RNA is filed under the name Staphylococcus aureus. RNAcentral's name for it is "partial 23S ribosomal RNA". It matches the Rfam family "Bacterial large subunit ribosomal RNA", at positions 252 to 1431 of the family's 2925-position model. The record is from RNAcentral. Lineage: Bacteria; Bacillati; Bacillota; Bacilli; Caryophanales; Staphylococcaceae.
AGCGAAACGGGAAGAGCCCAAACCAACAAGCUUGCUUGUUGGGGUUGUAGGACACUCUAUACGGAGUUACAAAGGACGACAUUAGACGAAUCAUCUGGAAAGAUGAAUCAAAGAAGGUAAUAAUCCUGUAGUCGAAAAUGUUGUCUCUCUUGAGUGGAUCCUGAGUACGACGGAGCACGUGAAAUUCCGUCGGAAUCUGGGAGGACCAUCUCCUAAGGCUAAAUACUCUCUAGUGACCGAUAGUGAACCAGUACCGUGAGGGAAAGGUGAAAAGCACCCCGGAAGGGGAGUGAAAUAGAACCUGAAACCGUGUGCUUACAAGUAGUCAGAGCCCGUUAAUGGGUGAUGGCGUGCCUUUUGUAGAAUGAACCGGCGAGUUACGAUUUGAUGCAAGGUUAAGCAGUAAAUGUGGAGCCGUAGCGAAAGCGAGUCUGAAUAGGGCGUUUAGUAUUUGGUCGUAGACCCGAAACCAGGUGAUCUACCCUUGGUCAGGUUGAAGUUCAGGUAACACUGAAUGGAGGACCGAACCGACUUACGUUGAAAAGUGAGCGGAUGAACUGAGGGUAGCGGAGAAAUUCCAAUCGAACCUGGAGAUAGCUGGUUCUCUCCGAAAUAGCUUUAGGGCUAGCCUCAAGUGAUGAUUAUUGGAGGUAGAGCACUGUUUGGACGAGGGGCCCCUCUCGGGUUACCGAAUUCAGACAAACUCCGAAUGCCAAUUAAUUUAACUUGGGAGUCAGAACAUGGGUGAUAAGGUCCGUGUUCGAAAGGGAAACAGCCCAGACCACCAGCUAAGGUCCCAAAAUAUAUGUUAAGUGGAAAAGGAUGUGGCGUUGCCCAGACAACUAGGAUGUUGGCUUAGAAGCAGCCAUCAUUUAAAGAGUGCGUAAUAGCUCACUAGUCGAGUGACACUGCGCCGAAAAUGUACCGGGGCUAAACAUAUUACCGAAGCUGUGGAUUGUCCUUUGGACAAUGGUAGGAGAGCGUUCUAAGGGCGUUGAAGCAUGAUCGUAAGGACAUGUGGAGCGCUUAGAAGUGAGAAUGCCGGUGUGAGUAGCGAAAGACGGGUGAGAAUCCCGUCCACCGAUUGACUAAGGUUUCCAGAGGAAGGCUCGUCCGCUCUGGGUUAGUCGGGUCCUAAGCUGAGGCCGACAGGCGUAGGCGAUGGAUAACAGGUU